Molecule: ribosomal RNA, 452 nt
Filed under: uncultured bacterium
Lineage: Bacteria
Description: bacterial SSU rRNA
Rfam family: Bacterial small subunit ribosomal RNA
Source: RNAcentral
GUCGGGAAUUUUGGACAAUGGGCGAAAGCCUGAUCCAGCGACGCCGCGUGCAGGAUGAAGUCCUUCGGGAUGUAAACUGCUGUCGGGCGGGACGAACGAACUACGUGUGAAUAACACGUGGAAGUGACGGUACCGCCCAAGGAAGCACCGGCUAACUCUGUGCCAGCAGCCGCGGUAAUACAGAGGGUGCAAGCGUUGUUCGGAAUGACUGGGCGUAAAGGGCGCGUAGGUGGUCAAGCAUGUCCGUUGUGAAAACAACAUCGCUUAACGAGUUGUCCGCAUCGGAAACUGCCUGACUUGAGUAUAGAAGAGGAGAACGGAAUUCCUGGUGUAGCGGUGGAAUGUGUAGAUAUCAGGAGGAACACCGGUGGCGAAGGCGGUUCUCUGGUCUAAUACUGACGCUGAGGCGCGAAAGCUAGGGGAGCAAACGGGAUUAGAAACCCCGGUAGUCC